This 229-nucleotide long non-coding RNA is filed under the name Cavia porcellus (domestic guinea pig). Its description in RNAcentral is "lncRNA (ENSCPOG00000034252.1)". The record is from RNAcentral. Lineage: Eukaryota; Metazoa; Chordata; Mammalia; Rodentia; Caviidae.
CCAGUGAUUUUCAGCAUUAUGUUUCUGUUUCCACAUUUUAGGAAGGACCUCAAUUGACCAGCAAAUUGAAGAUGAUUGCAGAAAUUGCAGGAAACAUCUAAGAAGUGAAGAGGCCGAGCAGUCCUGCCGAUAUCAGUUCCUGUGGCAGCAUGGCAAAAUGGUCUCUCUGACUCCAGAUGCACACGAGCACGUGACAGCUGUUGGCGUAAAACCAGGUGGAAAUGUUUCC